UACGAAGGGUGCAAACGUUGCUCGGAAUCAUUGGGCGUAAAGCGCACGUAGGCGGCUUGCCAAGUCGGACGUGAAAUCCCUCAGCUCAACUGAGGACGUGCAUCCGAAACUGGCGAGCUUGAGUACUGAAGAGGAUCGCGGAAUUCCCGGUGUAGAGGUGAAAUUCGUAGAUAUUGGGAAGAACACCGGUGGCGAAGGCGGCUCACUGGCUCGUAUCUGACGCUCAGGCGCGACAGCGUGGGGAUCAAACAGG
This 253-nucleotide ribosomal RNA is filed under the name uncultured bacterium. RNAcentral's name for it is "partial 16S ribosomal RNA". It matches the Rfam family "Bacterial small subunit ribosomal RNA", at positions 524 to 776 of the family's 1533-position model. The record is from RNAcentral.